GUGCUUGCUUCAACAGCAUAAAUACUAAAACUGGAAUGAAACAGAGAAUAUUAACAUGGCCUCUGAGAAAAGUUUACAUGCAAAUUCGUGAAAAUUUAAAAAACUGG
Leptonychotes weddellii (Weddell seal) is the source of this 107-nucleotide small nuclear RNA. NCBI's taxonomy places the organism in Eukaryota, Metazoa, Chordata, Mammalia, Carnivora, Phocidae. The record is from RefSeq and is a predicted model, not a curated record.